GUGUGUGUGUUGUGUGUGUUGUAUGUGUGUGAUGGGGAGGGGAGUGGGCUGAGAAGGCAGGAAGGCAGAGUGCCUGCUGGAGUAUGGACACUAUGGCUCAGGGGUGAGGUGGGGGCAGCACGGGAGCAGAUGAAGGGAUGGGUCUGGGGCUGUGGCACAGCACCACUGCCCUGAGCCUUACUUGUAUCAGAGAGUCUCAGAGCAGCCCAGGGACAGGGUCAUUUGCCUCAUUUUAUAUGAGAAGACUGAGACUUCUGUUCCCUCCUGGUCAAAUCCAACCAAGUCCUGCCAACACCACCCUCAUUAUCUCUCGGUCCACCUAUUUCGUCCAGGUAGCCUUCCCUGACCCCCAGACGGGGUUAGGGGCCCCGCCAUGUGCCCACCCCCAACUCUCCCUUAUCACAGUGCCAGAGCAUCAACUCUGCUAGGACAGAAGUGCCACGGGGCAGGGAUUUUCAUGGGUUUUAUUUUCCAUCAUCUCCCCUCUGCCCAGAGCAAUGCUUGACAAGCAGUUGGUACUUCAUAUUUUGGGAAUGAAUAACUCCUGCAGUAUUUCAUCAUAAUCGUUUGUCUAUUUGCCCUUAGGCUGUACUCUCCUUAAAGGCAGGACCUCUUUUGAUUCAUCAUUUUGACCCCAGCACCCAGCAAAGAGAUUUGUGCACAGCUAGAUCUGGGGAAGGAGAUUACCUGCAGAAUCAUAGAGAAAUAUAUUUGAAGUCAGACAAUAAAGCCUCUGUUUGACCUUGAGCCAGACCUGUCAUUUCCAGCUUCAUUCAGCUUUCUCCCCUGUAAAAUGGCAAUAGUAAUGAUUUAUUGCUUACUUCACAAGGAUGCUGAAAAGAGAAAAUAAAGCCAUGAAUAUAUUGGUGA
This is a non-coding RNA of Macaca mulatta (Rhesus monkey), 870 nucleotides long. The record is from RefSeq and is a predicted model, not a curated record. NCBI's taxonomy places the organism in Eukaryota, Metazoa, Chordata, Mammalia, Primates, Cercopithecidae.